Long non-coding RNA from Gasterosteus aculeatus aculeatus (three-spined stickleback), 774 nucleotides. NCBI's taxonomy places the organism in Eukaryota, Metazoa, Chordata, Actinopteri, Perciformes, Gasterosteidae. The record is from Ensembl.
GCCCAGAACCUCUGUGGGCGAGGACAAUGCCGGCAUGGAUCUGGAUACGGUGACGUCUCCUAUUGCUCCCCGUCCCCACUCCCAAGAAGAAAAAUCCCCAUUUGAGACAAAGACGUUUGUCAAGGUCCCGUCACAGGAAAAGGGGGAUUUGAAGAUUUUCAAAAGCAGAGGCUGACAGUUCAGAUGUGGUGGAGCCUUUGCCUGGUGACACAUGGAGAUAAUAACCGUGGCAGUGACUCAAGAGUCAAAUACCAACAUUUUUCACAAAGCCAUGGUGGAAGAAGUCAUACAUUGUCACUUUAAUCACCUUCUAAACCUCGGGUAUGUCGUUUUUUUGUGGAGAAGAAAAGUCUCCACUGCUGUGGAAGACGACCGGCAAGCAGAAGUUGGAAACAUGGGAGGAGGAAUCCACCUUGUGGCCAACCGGGGGAAUCGUCCAAGCGUUUUGGGGGUGAACCAAUCAGCACCACGGAGAGCUCCUGCAUCCCUCUGUCGUCAUGGGCAACGCCCCGGUUGUGACCUUCGAGCUGGCACCACACUUCAUUUGAUAUUGAUGUAGACCUUUCUUUCAACAACAAAUCAAACGGCACCACAUUGAAUAGAUUAUCUAUAUAUAUUUCUUCGAGUUGGCCCACUAAGGCAAAAACAGAGAAGUUAUUUCCAGUCGCUUAGCAACCUGGUUACCUGGUCAACUGUCUCUCCUUUGUAACGAUGCCAUUCCACACGUCACACCCGCGCGCGCACUUAUGCGUUACAUUUACCGCCUAAUUGCAU